This 407-nucleotide ribosomal RNA is filed under the name uncultured bacterium. Its description in RNAcentral is "bacterial SSU rRNA". It matches the Rfam family "Bacterial small subunit ribosomal RNA", at positions 355 to 759 of the family's 1533-position model. The record is from RNAcentral.
UGAGGAAUAUUGGGCAAUGCCCGCAAGGGUGACCCAGCAACGCCGCGUGGAGGAUGAAUGUCGUAAGAUUGUAAACUCCUGUUAGAGGGGAAGAAUAGUACCGGUUGGACCGGUAUAUGACUGUACCCUCAGAGAAAGCCCCGGCUAACUACGUGCCAGCAGCCGCGGUAAUACGCAGGGGGCAAGCGUUGUCCGGAUUUACUGGGUGUAAAGGGCGCGCAGGCGGGAUAAAAAGUCAGUGGUGAAAUCCUACAGCUUAACUGUAGAACUGCCUUUGAUACUUUUAUUCUUGAGUUCGGGAGAGAGAGACGGAAGUCCAGGUGUAGUGGUGAAAUACGUAGAUACCUGGAAGAACACCAGUGGCGAAGGCGGUCUCUUGGUCCGACACUGACGCUGAGGCGCGAAAG